UUGAAGGCAGUAUGCUUGGUAAAAGUCAUCGCCAUUCUCUAAUCUUGAGUACCCAGGGACACGAUACACUGCGGAAGGCUGCAGGGACCUCUGCCCAGGAAAGCCAGGUAUUGUCCAAGGUUUCUCCCCAUGUGAUAGCCUGAGAUAUGGCCUUGUGGGAAGGGAAAGACCUGACCGUCCCCCAGCCAGACACCCGUAAAGGGUCUGUGCUGAGGAGGAUUAGUGAAAGAGGAAGGCCUCUUUGCAGUUGAGAUAAGAGGAAGGCAUCUGUCUCCUGCUUAUCCCUGGGAAUGAAAUGUCUCAAUGUCAAACCCGAUUAUACGUUCUAUUUACUGAGAUAGGAGGAAACCGCCUUAUGGCUGGAGGUGAGAUAUGCUGGCGGCAAUACUGCUCUUUAAUGCACCGAGAUGUUUGUGUACAUGCACAUCAAGGCACAGCACCUUUCCUUAAACUUAUUUAUGACACAGAGACCUUUGCUCACAUGUUUUCCUGCUGACCCUCUCCCCACUGUUACCCUAUUGUCCUGCCACAUCCCCCUCUCCGAGAUGGUAGAGAUAGUGAUCAAUUAAUACUGAGGAAACUCAAGAGACCAGGGCUGGCGCCCGUCCUCCGUAUGCUGAGUGCCGGUCCCCUGGGCCCACUGUUCUUUCUCCAUACUUUAUCUCUGUGUCUUAUUUCUUUUCUCAGUCUCUUGUCCCACCUGACGAAAAACACCCACAGGUGUGGAGGGGCUGGUCCCCUUCAGUUCUAAAGCCCACUUGGCUCAUUCCACAUGUGGCAGUAUUUUUUUACCAUGUGAACACCAAAAUGAAUUCGUGGCAAAUGCACCUCCCGUUUAUUGCAGGCUUGCAUGAAGGAAAUGAUUUCCUAUGAUUCUGCUUACUGCUUAAAAAAAUUAAUCAAGUUUUCUGCCUGACAAGUAAGUAACUGUGUUUAUUUUCUGUUCAUGACUAGGCAAAAGCACAUAACAUCCCUAUGUGUCCAGUGAGUUAUGAAAGUUCUUUAAAAGCAGUGCAUUAGCCAUGGAUCUUCCUGCUAUCUCUCCCCUGCAGUUUGCUGAGAAUGUUUUCCAUAAUAGAACCAGGCUUAUCACAAUUUAUUCCUGCCUUACUGACUACUAGGUCAUUGCCUAGAGUUCUGAACCCCGGGUUGGAAGCUGUUAAAAUUUAAUAAAAACUACUUUAGAGAAAAUGGUCACUCUCCCUUCAUCCUCUCUCACCUCCCUCUGGCUCCUUGACCCCCAUCCCUCCCUGAAGAUGCUGGUCGCUAAGGCUCUUUUAAUAGACUUCCUUAUUGUCCCAGGUUUCUGGGAAUUCAUCAGUGAUAGCUGCCAUGGGUAUGUUGAGAGGAUACUAUAUGCUGAGAACUCCACAUCUGAUAUUUUACUUAAUUUCCCCACAAUAUUAUGAAGUAGAUGUUAUUUUCCCCAUUGUACAAUAAGAGAUGGAAAGCUAGAGAGGCUAAAAGCAGAACAAGAAUUUGAACCCAAAUGCCUGUGACUGUAACCACCAUACAUAUAGCCUACCUGUUUCCAUGUUGUUCUAGCAGGAUCCUUGUUUUCUUCCUUCUUACAGUAAAAUCUGACUGAUCACUGUUGAGUAACGGAUCUUAAUUAGGUCGAGAUGCGGAAGGAGUUUGCUCCUGUAAUUUCAGGAGGUCUUUGCAUAUACCUAUUAUUGCAAAUAGAUUUCGCUUUAUUGGAAAAAGGCUAUCAGUAUUCCCUGGGGACUCUAUUUUUACAGCUGAGACUGCUGCUCUCUAUCAGUCACUAUGAAGUAGAAAUUCUGAUUAUGAUAUCACAUAAGAUUCAAGGCCACUAGUGAUAAAUGUUCAAGAGGAGGUGUGUUCAGCUUUGUGAUACACUAUUGUGAUAAAAAUAUGGCACAGGAUUUUAAAAAUAUGAAAAUGUAAAAGGAAUACAAAUAUGAUAAAUGAUUAUAAGUCUAUGUAUGGAAUUUAAUCUAUUUUUCCUAAAUGCUGACUGUAAGCGGUUUAGCCCAGUGAUAUAAACUGUGCCUGAGAAAGGUCCCAGUCAAUUUCAUGCUGUUCAUGUGCCAUUUAUUUUUACUUUUUAAGUACAUUGGGAAAAUACAUAAGAAAAAAUGUACAUUCAUCUUUUUAAUGAUACUAUAAAAGAUGGUGAACAAGUUAAUCGGAAGAAAAGAAAAACAAUUCAUCUAGACAUUCUUGCAAUGAAUUUUUGCCAAAUGCUUAAUUUUUACUAGAUGCUAGGAGAAUUGGGAAGCCUUAAGUCUGACACAGGAUCCAGAGACAAAAAUUACAAAGUAGUGAGUGCUAUGGUAAGAGUUAAGUAAGAAGGUUGGAUAAGAUGUCCACUACUAGCUCAAUCUUGAAAGCGUCCAGGACACUUGCCUCUGAGACCUAAACGACUGAGUGGGCAUUGAUCAAGAGUGGGAGGUUGUUUCAGGGUCAGCACAUGCAAAGGACAGGCUCCAUUUUAGGAAAAUGAAAGUAGUUCAGUGUUAUUGAAGCUGAUGGUGAGGGAGGAAGUGGCAGAAGAUAAAGGCUGGAAAGAAACAAGUCAAUAAGAAGCCACAAAAAAGUUGUAAGUAGAUGAAUGACAUGAUCCAAUUUGUGCUUUAGGAAGAUUACUUUUGUCUCAGUGUCCAAUAUAGGUGGAGGGAGGCAAAAUGAGAAGCAGAGAGUUAUUUGAUGGUGGAAAGAGAGAGCUGUUCAAACAAACAGGCAAGAUUCAGUGGAGACCUGAACUAGGCAGGUGGCAUCUUGGGUUGCAAGAAAUGGACAGGUACAAAAGAUAUUUAGAAGGACAAGAAGGUAUUUUAGUUGGAUGACGUACAUUUCAAAGGAACAAGGAAGAAGAAUGGUCUGGGAAUAGUAUUGGUGAGCCAGGAGUCUUCAUUUGAGUGGGCUGCAGGGAAAGUUGUGUCCUCAGAAGAUGCCACAUUUCAGUUAUGGUACAAUGGGAGGGAACAUUCACUGUGGCAGUGGAAUCACCAGAGGGCCACAAGUGGAUCAGAUUGGGAAGUGGGAUAAUAUUCCAGCCUGAAUUAGAUUGUACAAUCCCAGGGAGCAGGAAUGAGGAAGGAAAGGGAGUAGAAUAGAGAAAAAGGGGGAGUAAUAUGAGGAUGCAUUAUAGGUCUAACUGCUUCCAGGUAUGACUGAUUGCUCAAUCCCAUAGGACCAUCUUCUAAGAAGUUGUAAUAAUUUAAUCACAGAGAAAAGUGAAGAAUUUAGCCACUGGCUGCAGCCUCCAAUUGGUCAAAGGUUUGUCUCACAGAGCAUGAACCUCCCUGCACCUCCAUAUAACACAUAUUUGAGUGCAACAGGGUUCUUAUAUAAGUAUCAUCAGGGUGGCCCCAGGGAAGGAGGUGAGAAGUUGCAAUAAUGUCAGGUUGCGCUUGCAUGCAAGUGAUCAGAAUAUACCCUAAGAGCAAGUUAUCUCAGUGGCAGCUUGAAUGAAAUCGGUGAGCCAAAGCAUAUAAAUUAGCACAUAAAAGGUGCAUAAUACAGUCCACCUUCUGCACUAUUCAGGGCCACUUUCCCCCAUCAUUAUAUCCAAAUUGCAUACUACAAUAUAGGCCCCCAUUUUUGUGAGAAUAAGUUGUCCUUAUCUAUUCUACAAGAGAGGAAGCACUCGUCCAAUCUGUCACAAGGUCCCCUUCAAGGGAAUGGUCCACCAGAGUCUGAUUGAGGAUAAGUAAGACAAACUUCUGUUCCAUAGCUGAACCUGGAUCUGAAGUCAUAAGUUAUAUUUAUCUCCAACCUCUUCCAGCAAUUCUAUAUUUCCCUCACUAUGGGCCAGCACAUUAGCUAUCUGUGUUGGUCUCCCGGUGGGAUGACACAAACAUUCAUCGUUGAGAGGCUUGAACCUUUAUUUGCCUUAUCCUUUUUGGGCCAUAGUUGUUGCAAUACAAUUACGCAUCAGCUUUUGACAAUACAAUUAUGUAAGUACAAUACAAACUAUGUACAAAUCUGUUAUCGCUGGACACAGGAGCACCAAGAGAUACCCUUGUGAAACCCUUGGGUUCCAGAUGUGUUUCUUCUUGUCCUCACUGGUAACAGCAACUCUAGCUAUUCAGCAGAGUCAGGGGCUAUUACUUUUAAUGAUGUGCUAACUAUUUAUUCCCUGCUGGCCCAUAAGCAUGAGGAGUUCAACUGAUAUUUUCAGCUUCAAAUUCAGGGGACCCUUACAUUUUAUCUGGCAGAAUUAUUCUCUUUCCCAUCCACAGUCACAAUUAAGAUUUCUAAUCCAAUAGAGGCUAAAGUUGCAAGAUGGAAGAUAGUAAACACAAAUUCCGUAAUCACUUGGUUCCCAGUUUUAUAUAAUUGAGCUACUGGGGAUUCAAAACCAUAUAUUGGUCAUUGGCUUAAUGUAUAUGCCAUAUCCUGGAAGAUCACAUUCAACCCUGCUAGAUGUUGUCCCCAAGCUGGGAUCUUAAUGAACCUUUAAUAUGAUUUCUACCAUUCUCUUAGGAUGGCUGCUUCUGGGUGAUGGGGAACAAGGAACAAUUAUUAGAUUCUGUUUCAUGCACUCAUUACCUUGAUUCUUAUAAAACAGUUCCCUUGGUGUGUGGCAAUGCUGUGUGAAAUAUGUGUUGAUAAGUCAAGCAUUCUAAAAACUUUUGGAUGGUAAGCCAGUGGAGGUACUACAGACAAGGAGGGCAAACCCAGGGUCUAUUCACAUUAAGGAUCAAUUCCUACAAGGACAAAUUUCUGUCCUCCCCAACCCCCAGGGUAGAAGAUGUCUAAUUGUAAUCUACCUGAUACCAAGAGACUGGCUGAUCUCCUCAAUCUCUGCUGUUGACAAAUUGAGCAUUCAAGACUACCAUUAGCUAGACUAGAAGGAAUUCAUGCAAACCUUUAUCUCUGCCAUGAGACCACCCUUUUCUUGGGCUCACUGUCCAGCAUAGAAGCAGUCAAUGAGAGAGAGAUGAAGUGACAUACAUGAUGAGGUAGCCUUCCCCACUGGUUGCUGAGAGAACUGUUGGUGGUAGAUGUUCUCUGGUAGGUAGUAAUAGCUGCAAAAUUUGUGUCCAUUUUUAUAGGUCAAUCUAUAUGCCUCAUCCUGUGACAUCAUCAUUCCCCAGUUUUCUAUUUGAUUCCUUCCAGACUCCUCACCAGUUAUUCAUGUCAAGUGGAUGACAAAUUUACUGCUCACCACUUUCCCGCUGGCUAAUUUACUUUAACCGCUGCUCUUUAGAGAUACCACUGAGUGGAUCUAUAAUAUGUCAGCAGUGUAUUUUUGACUAGCAUCUGUUGACACACUUGUGAGCCAGGCAUGAAGUUUUUUUUCAAUCUUCUAUCAGUUGGUCAUAGGGAAUCCCCUAUAAGCCAUAAGUGCAAGAUGAGAUAAAAGGUAUCAGAGUGAUAGAAACAGAUGACAUGCAAAUUUGUGCCACCUCUUUGUGCAAUUUACUCUUGCCUUUUGGACCUGCCUCAGUCCCAUUUCCAGGCACGACAUUCCAUAAUGUAGAUUGCUGCUGUGGCUAACCCAAUCUAUGAUUUAGUGGAUUUAAUCAUACACAGUUGGCUGUAGUUCAGAUAUUUGCUCCUUUCAAAUCUCAUCUUGAAAUUUGAUUUCCAAUGUUGGAGGUGGGCCCUAGUGGGAGGUGUUUGGCCCACGAGGAGUGGAUCCCACAUGAAUAGCUUGGUACCACUCUCAUUAGUGAGUGAGUUCUUGCUCUUUUAGUUUCAAUGACAGCUGCUUUUUAAAGAGUCUGGCACCUCUACUUCUCUCUCUCUCUCCUUCUCUCUCUCUCUCUCUUACUUCCUCUCUUGCCAUGUGAUCUCUGCACAUACUGGCUCCCCUUAGCCUUCCACCAUGAGUGGAAGUAGCCUGGGCCCCUCUGCAGAAACAGAAGCUAGCACCAUGUUUCUUGUACAGUUUGCAGAACAGUGAGACAAAUAAAUUUCUUUCCUUUAUAAAUUACUCAGCCUCAGCUAUUCCUUUAUAGCAAUACUAAAUGGACUCAGAAACAGCUCACACUUGGUGUCUUGUGAUGUUAUAAUUAGGCAUUCAAUCUCUACAAAUAUCCGGUAGCAGGCCAGGAGCUGCAAAAGAAAUUGCAGUCUGCAAAAGCCAGAUAACUCUUUGUCAACUUUGAAGGAGAUUCUCAUUUCCUACAAUUCCUUCAUCAUGGAGAGCUCUAUCACGAUUACAUCUAUUGAGUUUUAUAGUUCAAUAGUCUGGCUCUGCAGAAGGCUCCUGCAGAGCCUUCUGUUAACUAUGGCCCAGGAAAAACUUCCAUAUCUCCCAGAAUAUAGACCAAAGCAGUAUUUUUAAAUGCAGUCUAUUCUUCCACCAAAAUUCAAAAAGGCUCACCAAGCAGUGUACCUCUUUCUUAGUGGUAGGAGUUGCAAGUAGAACAAUGUGUUUAUUUCUUUGUAAGAAUGUCCUAGCAUAUUCUGGAUUGCUGGAUAUCUACUAAGUUGACCAAUAUCAUGGGAACCUGAACUUCAUUGGGUUUAUCACCUACCCUCUGAUAUGCAUGUAUCUUACUGGGUCACCUAGGGUAUUAACAUUUCCAAUAACCAUGACAUCAUCAAUACAGUAGACAAGUGUUAUACCAUGACGUUCUGCAGAAGGCUAAGAUGAUGGAAAUACCUAGCUAUUAUGUUGUGACAGGGAACAGGAUAGUUAACACAAGAGUGAGUAUGUAGAGUUGCCCCUCUAAAUGUAAAGUCAAAUUCCUUUUGAUCAUUUUUGCUGAUGGAAAUCUAGUCAACAAACAUUUUCUGUAAAGGGUCAUACAAUAAAUAUUUUUAGCCACGUGGUUCUGUUAUAAUUAUUCAACUCUGCUUUUGUAGUCUGUGGUCAUAUUUGGCCCAUGAGCUGUAGUUUGCCUACCCCUGACUUAAAAACAAAGUGUUUUCCAGAUUAGUAGCUGCAUAUAAAACGCCAAAGACCAUGUUGAUCUUUUUCAUGAAAGGUACCACAUUUUGUCUCCAAUGACCCAUAUGUUUUUUUCAGGAUACACAUAAACCAACUGAAUAGGGAUAUGAUGAGACCACCACACCUUCAUCCUUUAAAUCUUUAAUGUGUAAUAAAGAUUUACACAUUAAAAGAAUUACACAUUGUGUAAUUCCUUUUAGGAUGCAGAUUGCUUCUUAUUUACCAUAUAGGGCAUGGAUGUGUACAUAGGGGUGUGUGUGUGUGUGCACGCAUUUGUGUAUAUGUAGGAGGAGAAGGAAUUGCAGAAAUUUCAGGGGUUUCCACAGAGCCCUUGCUACCAUGAUGGCCCUUAAUCUACAAGUCGGAGAAACAAUGGGAGGGUUCUGCCAGAUGCUUAAAAUAACUGUGUAUUUGGAGACUAGAAAAAUAACUGAGAAUUUUUGUCCUUGCGAUUGAACAAUGAGAACACAUGGGCACAGGAAGUGGAACAUCACACACCGGGGACAGUUGUGGGGUGGGGGGAGGGGGGAGGGAUAGCAUUAGGAGAUAUACCUAAUGAUAAAUGAUGAGUUAAUGGGUGCAGCACACCAACAUGGCACAUGUAUACAUAUGUAACAAACCUGCACGUUGUGCACAUGUACCCUAAAACUUAAAGUAUAAUAAUAAAAAAAAAGAAAAAUAACUGAGAUAAACUUGAGCUAACAUUUCAUUUAUCACCUAGCUUCCAUAUACCCACUCUAACUGGAAUUCCAUGAUGAAGACUUGAGUCCACUAGCAUCGGAAAACUCGGAUCCCAUAUUUAACAGUGCUCAAAAACAAAUAUACGUACUGCCUUCCCCAGUGUACAAUAGUCUAUCAAUGGCCACAGGUCCCUUUUGGGAAGGAUUACAAGGAAUAUUUC
Molecule: long non-coding RNA, 7775 nt
Filed under: Homo sapiens (human)
Lineage: Eukaryota; Metazoa; Chordata; Mammalia; Primates; Hominidae
Description: non-protein coding LINC01146:8
Source: RNAcentral